ACCGCCAUCCCGCAAAACCCACGAUGCCGCCGCCGCCGCCGCAAAAUACUUCCUCAUGCUGCUGAUGGCUCAGUAAUACUGUGUUUGACCGCACCGUGCGUUCCCACCUCUGCUGCAGUCCGUCGUCUGUUCAAGGCCAUGGCCGAGGAUGAAGCCGUCACAGGCCAGUGCUGCAACUUCCUUUUCUCUUUUGCCGAUCUCGCAUUCUUCCCAUAUUGCAAAUCUUCAGAAAUUGUCCUAAGAUGCAGUCCAAGGAUUCUGAAAACAGCUGCACGUGCAGCCCAGCCUAUGCUAUUCUCUAAUUUGCAGAUAAAAGUGCUUUGAAAAUUUAGAGGGCUCACGAUGGUACGAGAUGUUUCACUUUAGAGGAUUCUCCGUCAUGGUUGGAGUGCAGUAUGGCGUCCAACUUUCAGAUUAGCAGAGCGAGGUGCAUGCUUUCUGGUUCUGCGUUGUGCACAUCAGCGAUCGACAGGAGUAGCCUAAGAUGCAGUCCAAGGAUUCCGAAAACAGCUGCACGUGCAGCCCAGCCUAUGCUAUUCUCUAAUUGGUAGAUAAAAGUGCUUUAAAAAUCUAGAGCGCUCAAGAUGGUACGAGAUGUUUCACUUCAGAGGAUUCUCCAUCAUGGUUGGAGAGCAGUAUGGCGUCCAACUUUCAGAUUAGCAGAGCGAGGUGCAUGUUUUUUUGGUUCUGCGUUCUGCACAUCAGCGAUCGACAGGAGCAACCUAAGUUGGUGUCCAAGGAUCCCGAAAACAGCUGCACGUGCAGCCCAGCCUAUGUCUUUCUCUAAUUGGAAGAUAAAUCUGCUUUGAAAAUUUAGGGCGCUCAACAUGGUACGAGAUGUUUCACUUCUCAACACAUCUCCUUUUUUUGAGUUUUCUUAAAACUAAUUAUUGUAGAAUUAUAUUUCUUUAUUUCUCAUAAAGUGGUCUGUACAAUAUAUAUUAUAUAGUACAACUUAUCGACUAAGAAAGCAAUACCACAUGAGGCACAACACUCUAGGCGCAAUAGGACAUGGAAAUAUCACACAACCUGGAUUGUUCAAGUCAGCGCUGCUGGGACGCGUUGUUCUGCAAGCAACAGCUGCUACCAUCCAGUUCAAUAGACCAGGAAAAUCAAAACCUUCAUAAAUUCAUGUUGAGAUGCAGGCGUGUGUAUAAGCAUGAAGUGAAGUCUAUGUCGGUUGCUCAUGGUACACGAGUAUAUACAGCAGUUGCUGCGUGUUCGGCCAGGAGUAGUGUGAACUCUUAAGCAGCUUCAAUUGCAGACGAUGGGCUCACAUCCAUCUCCAUAGCAUAAACAUCGUGCACGUCACUGAUUUGUGCAUAUAUGUAAAGCGGCGAAACAAGAUCAGCAGGCUAGCACAUCCAACGCCUAUAGGUAUUCGAUCUACCGGAGGUUAUCCCUUCUCAGCAACUUCAUAACCUGACCUUGACGUAAAUGGAGACAAAGUUAUAUGAAACGGCGUACAAGCAGUUACUCAAGCACCCUGAUCUGCGCCUCUGUCAUAGUCAAGGUGCAUUGGUUCAUAAGGUUUAGAGUCCAGAAGGAGCAUGUCCAAUUGCUAACAACAGGUUUGAUCUGGGGUUGCCACAUUUUGCAAAAGUAAUUCCUGAAAUUUUUUAAACCAGAAGGACACAAUUGAAGUUGUGU
Triticum dicoccoides is the source of this 1650-nucleotide long non-coding RNA. RefSeq lists it as uncharacterized. The transcript has 5 exons. The record is from RefSeq and is a predicted model, not a curated record. Lineage: Eukaryota; Viridiplantae; Streptophyta; Magnoliopsida; Poales; Poaceae.